This is an RNA transcript of Calidris pugnax (ruff), 4173 nucleotides long. It is a transcript of the gene named family with sequence similarity 184 member A, with no coding region annotated. The transcript is spliced from 17 exons. Lineage: Eukaryota; Metazoa; Chordata; Aves; Charadriiformes; Scolopacidae. The record is from RefSeq and is a predicted model, not a curated record.
AUGGCGACCCCGGGGAUGGGCUGGCAGCAGCCGCAGCACGGCUACGGCGGCGGUUCGGCGCCCGGCGCGGGAAAACUCGGCUCCGGCUCAACCCAGGGUGGUCUGGGCGGCGAGCACAGCCCGGACCUGCAUUUCAAAAUGAGCAAGAAGAUCGCCCAGCUCACCAAGGUAAUAUACGCUUUGAACACUAAAAAUGAUGAACACGAAGCUGCUAUCCAAGCCCUUAAGGAUGCUCAUGAAGAAGAAAUUCAACAAAUUCUUGCAGAGACCAGAGAGAAGAUCUUGCAGUAUAAAAGUAAAGUUGCAGAAGAAAUGGAUCUCAAGAGAAAGAUCCAGGUUUUAGAAGAGUCACUGGAAGAUCAUAAAAAGAUGAAACAUCAGGCCUUGACAGAAUUUGAAGCCUAUAAGGAUAGAGUUGAAGAUAUGCAGCUUUGCGCAGAAGCUCAGCAUGUCCAACGUGUAGUGACCAUGUCAAGAGAAGUAGAAGAGAUCAGAAAGAAAUUUGAGGAAAGGCUAAGAAGUUUCAUACAGUUGCAAGUACAGUAUGAGAAGGACAAGCGUACAGCUCUGGAAGAUUUGAGAGCUGCCCACAGGCUUGAGAUUCAAGAACUUCUGAAGACUCAACAGAGUCAGAAUGCUACUUUAAGUAAGGGGCAAGAAAAGUUAGAGGAAUUGCAUAGACUGGAGCUGGAAGACUUGAACAGUAAAGUUGAAGAGUUAAGACUGGAAAGAAAAAAACUCAUUGAAGACUAUGAAGGUAAACUCAGCAAAGCACAGUCCUUUUAUGAACACGAACUUGAUUCUUUGAAAAGAUCUCAGCUUUUUACAGCAGAAAGUCUGCAUGCUUGUAAAGAAAAAGAAGUGGAGCUAAGAAAAGAAUUUCAAAACCAGGAAAGUAUGUUACGGAAGAACUUGGGAAAGCUUAAAACUGAAUUGCAAAUGGUCCAGGAUGAAGCUGCCAGUCUACGGGAAAAAUGCCAAAAACUUCAGGUGGCUCUUGGUACAGCAGAAAACAAUGUUCAGGUUCUUCAAAAACAGCUAGAUGAUGUGAAGGAAGAGGAGAUGUCAUUGUUAAGCAAACACAAAGAAGUGGAAAGUGAGCUAGCAGCUGCUAGGGAGCGCUUACAGCAGCAGGCCACUGAUCUUGUUCUCAAAGCCAGUCACAUUGGAAUGCUUCAAGCUACUCAGAUGACUCAAGAGGUUACAAUCAGAGAUUUGGAAUCAGAAAAGUCUAGAUUAAAAGAAAAACUAUCCCAACUGGAAGAGGAAAGAAACUUACUACAGAGCAAAACACAGAGUCUGGAUGAGCGACAAAGGCAGCAAAUUCUGGCCUUGGAAAAGAAAGUAAAUGAAGCAAGGGAGUCACAACGUGAAUAUUAUGAGAAGGAGCUGGUAAAAUUGCAAGCAAGAUUGGAAGGGGAAGCUGCACAGUUAAAGGAGGCUCAUUCUAAGACCUUAGAAGAAUUAGCAUGGAAACACCAUACUGCAAUUGAGGCUGCGCACAGUAAUGCUAAUAAGGAUAAGAAAAAACUGCAGAUGGAGCUGGAGCAACAGUUUGAGAAGGAGAAACUGCAUUUGGAGGAUGAUAAGAAUCAGCUCCGACAGCAGCUGGAGAACCUGAAGGAAGAGCUGACAACAAAACUGACUUCUGCCAAUCAGGAGGUGUGUCGUCUACAAGACCUAGUACGAAAAAGUGAGCAAGGCCUUGGUACUGCAGAAGGACAUAUCUCCAGUCUUCAAGAAGCUCAGGAAAUACUCCAGAAGGAACUAGAAUUAACUAGAGCAAGACUGCGAGAGACCACAGAUUCAUUGUAUAGUGUUGAGGGGGAACUAGAUCAGGAGAGACAACAGCACGAGGCGAUGAUUGCUGCCAUGAGAGAAGAGGAAAAGUUCAAAGUUGACAGAAUGGCUCGUGACUUGGAAAUAAAAUGGACAGAAAAUCUUCGACAGGAAUGUAAUAAGCUUCGUGAAGAGCUGAGGCUACAGCAUGAAGAGGAUAAAAAGGCAGCUAUGACUCAGCUGUUGCAGCUGAAAGAACGUGAAAAAAAUGCAGCAAGGGAUGGAUGGCAAAAAAAAGUUGAAGAUCUUUUAGACCAGCGGCACUGUCUCGGUGAAGCUUUGCAUAAAUCUAUCAGCAAUAUCUCCUUACUGAAGCAGAAUCUGGAGAUGCAGCUUUCCCAGUCACAGAGCUCUUUGCAGCAGCUACAAGCCCAGUUCAGUCAGGAGCGACAGAGGCUGACUCAGGAGAUACAGGAAUUAGAAGAGGAGCAUCAGCAAAGGCAUAAGUCACUUCAGGAAGCCCAUAUCCUUGCCUUUCAAAACAUGGAAGAAACAAAAGAGCAAGAACAAAAGGAAUUAGAAGAACGCUUACAACAGAAGCACUCAGAAGAACUUCAGGCACUGAAAGAAACACAUAAACAAGCCAUGGAAGGCUUCAAACUGGAGAUGGAACAGGAACUUCAGACACUACGAUUUGAGCUGGAGGAUGAAGGAAAAGCUAUGUUAGCUUCCUUGCGCUCAGAGCUAAAUCAUCAACAUGCAGCAGCAAUUGACCAGCUGAGGCACAACCAUCAACAGGAGUUGGUAGCUGCCAAGAUGGAGCUUGAAAGAAGCAUAGAGCUCGGCAGGCGACAGGAGAAAGAAUUCUUAUGCCGAAUAUCAGAUCUACAAGAUGAACUGAGACACCGAGACCAUCAUAUAGCUGAACUGGACAAAGAGAUUCUGCAUCUUCAUGAAAAUAUAAGUGCAUUGACUAAGGAAUUAGAGUUUAAAGGCAAAGAAGUUCUUAGAAUACGCAGUGAAUCAAACCAACAGAUCAGGAUGCAUGAGCAAGAUUUAAGCAAGAAACAUGAGAAAGAGAUGGAUGUCUUGACAGCAGAUCACAUCAGAGAGAAACAAAGCAUGCUGGCAGAUUUUAAUAAGACCCAAGAGCUGCUCAAGGAAAUUAAUUCAGCUUUGCAAAUUUCUUUGUUAAAUUUCCUGAAUCUGUUCUGAAACUUCGUUCACUAAUCUACAUGAGGGUUGAGUAUGAGAGGCAAGUAUUUUAAUAGUUUCCUUUGGAGCAAUGUUUGGCAUCAUGAGCGUUAUAUUUAUGUUUCAGAGAGACACAGUUAUUUGAAAUUGUCAGGUCUUCAAAACUUGUUCUUUAAGAAGAAAUAAGGAGGUUUAUGCAGUUACUUGUACAAUUCCUCUCUCACUAGGCUUAUUUCACUUCUCUCCUUUAAUGCUUUCCCACCAGGCAUUUCAGGUUUCCUCCUAUUUUUUUCAAAUGUUUAUCAAUUGUUACAUUUCUCUUAAUCCAGAUAUCCUAAUAUCCAAGUGUUAUUGCUUUUCUUUUGCAGCUCAUUCCUUUAUUUCUCUAAUGGUACUAAGUUGCUUUUGUGGAGAGGAGUUAGUUACCUGUUAGUCUUCACUGUUCUUGGAUAUCUUUGUCCCAGUAUGUUCCACAUGAACUGAGGAAGACGGUGCCAGCCUUGUCUGUCUGUCCAGUUUCUCCAGUAUCACAAGAAUGCAUCUUUAUUCAGAGUAGUCAUCUCUAAAAAGAAAAAUGAUACUGUUUGUGUUCCUCAUCAAGAAAAUGAAUUGCCAGCUUUUAAAAUUUAUGUUAAUAUUAAAUAUAAUGCAAUGUAGUUCCUAUAUUUUACAUAAGAAUCAAUCUUAGCUAUGUCUUCUGUAAUUCUACUGUCUAUAUUACAGUUCUGAAUGCCUUCUUUUCAGUCUGACUUCCAAGAGGCCUUUUCUCAAAAAACUUAGUUCUGCAUGUGCACAAAAGAUAUAAAGUUUUUAGAAUUUUGCCCAGAUUAUUAAUUACUGGAGCAAAGGCUGUUGUUAUUGUUGAUCUAUUUUCUUUUAACUCACUAAAGCUGAAUGAUAACAUAGAAAUUAGUUUACUUCAAGGUGGUAAGAAAAUCACCUUCUGCUUUUAAUCCCUGAACUCUCUUUUUGUACUAAUCAAAAAUGUGACUGUACACUCAUUAUUUAACACUGGAUCAGGCUAAAGGGGGUAUUCUUCUUUCCUAUAAAGUUUAGAAGAAAUGGAGGAAAAAUAUAAAACCAGAGAAUCAAGACCAGAAGACUUGCAGCUUAUCUCAGAACUGAAAGACCUAAUUGCAGAGCGGGACCAGCUCAUAAAGAAAUUGAUUCAAAAGAAGAAGAACGAUAAAUCAACAAACA